CCCUCUUCCCCGCCAACCCCAUGGCAUCUCCGCUCCUGCCGCCGGGCUCUGGGUUGCCGGGGAAACGGGAAAAUAUAAACUCCCAAGCCAUCCUUUUUUCCCUCCAUCCUCGCCCAACGAGCCUUUCUCGAAAAAAUUCCGGGAUUCCAGAGGGAAAAUGAAAGCAGAGGCACGACCGGGCUGGCACUAAAUACACUCCAGACGCCAUUCUGUAAUACCUUGAUAGGCCACCGAAAAAGGAAGAUUUCCCCCUUCAUCAGGUGGCAUGUUAAAAGCAAGCAGAGAGACGGAGGUUAAGGUUGACCUUAAAGCCUUCUCAUCAGCUUGUUAUGCCAAGAAAACAACAACAUAUUCACUCAGCAAGAUCUGCAAGCAAAGGCUGUCUGUGGACCAAGUAGGGAAGAUAUCCUUAAAAACUGGGAGGCGAAGCAUCUCAAGAAUGAUUGUAGGUGAACAUGAGAGAACUUGUUAGCUGCCGUACUAUGGAUAUGGAAGAACCUUCAGAGAGAAGCUCACAUGGCCGAG
Molecule: non-coding RNA, 525 nt
Organism: Pogona vitticeps (central bearded dragon)
Lineage: Eukaryota; Metazoa; Chordata; Lepidosauria; Squamata; Agamidae
Source: RefSeq, a predicted model, not a curated record